CACUUGCUUAGACGUUGAAGACGCCAUCGUCUCUCUGAAUGAAUUUACCUGCCAGCAUUUUGGGAACAAGACAGGAUGAGGAAACACUAACAGGCAGGACACAAAAGAUCUCCGGUGUAUGAAGGGAAAAUCUGUCGCCGCUAAUGAUGAAUUACCAUUAGACUCGCGCAUUUCCGACGCCGACAGCAGAGGGGAAAGCAAAAACUAAAACCUUGUUUAAUGAUGCUGUCGGUACCGGAUGCGGCUCACUGUUUUGGCUGCCCCACCGAGGCCACUCACUCUUCCAACGAGAGAGUCACCAAACGCUGCUGCUGCUGGAGGAGAAGGGAAGAGGAGGAGGAGGAGGAGGAAGAAGAAGAAGAGGUGCUGAAGAGGGUGCGGGGGCGGUGGGGGGAGUAGGAAGGGAGGGUGGAAGAGAAGAGGAACGCGUAAUCUCCCAAACAUCCGUUGUUAACCACUUCACCCCCUCUGGAUCCGUGCGGCAAGGUAAGAAAAAAGCCUGCGCGGCUUGGCCCUCUCUGCAUCGUAAAGUGCACAGGCAGGCGGGUGUAGCAGCUCCUCUCCUCUCCUCUGCUCUCCGGGGCUGAGGCUGAGGCUGAGGCUGUCUUCCACUGCGGAUAGAGAGCGGAUGGAGGCCGGGCACGGAGCAGGACACCAAGAGGACAUAACAACAAACCUGGCACGGGGAAAACAGUGGAGCGACUUGUGGUUGUUAAGGAGUGGCUGGCACGAGUCGCCAAGCCAAGCCGGGGCAUGUGAGGUGUAAACGAAGACGCAACGGAGACGGAAACGAGCGGAGGUGUCGGGGCGUCGCAUGGCGAGCCUCUCUGAUGUUCUGGAUCACUGGGGGGAAGAUGGAAAUCGGACGUCCGUGGGGAGAAGAAAUUGCAUGCCAACAGCACAUCGUUGGUGGAGUCCUUUUUUUUUUUUUUUUUAUGGGAGGCGUGUUUUAAGGAGCUCUGUUUCGUCCUCAUGUGGUAGGCAAUCUACUUAGGACGGCUGUAAUUUCUCUACUGCAAACACGACACACAAGAGUAGCACAGGGAAAACUUUUCCUAGCAGGUUUACAAUUGUAUUAACCUCAAAGAAAGAAAGAAAGAAACUUAAAAUAAAUGUUUUCUUUAAAAAAAAAAGUCUUUUCUUUUCUAUUUUUUUACACAAUCAACAGUGAGACACUCAAGUCUUGCAAAACGUAAAUAUAGCUGGGUUAGAUGCUUUGAAUUUAUACUGUUUCCAGGACAUCACAACACUUUCUAAUAGUGACCUUUGACUUUGGCUGAAACAAUGAGGGCCCAUUUCUCUUUGCUUGCAUUCAAAACAUGAGUGACAACAGAGCGUCUGCCCUUGAAAUAGGGCAGACAUUAGCUGUGUGCUGUCAGAGCAAUAAUUAGAGGGUUCAAAACAACUGGAACUGCAAUUAAUAUGGCAGAACGAGGACUCAAGUUUAUCCUUGUAAAAGUAAGCAAGAUACUAACUGAAGAAAAGAAAUGUGAGCCUUACGGUUUCACUUGUAACACGUGAAAUGUUGUGUUAAAAAAGUGGAAGCUUAAGAAUUUGUGUAUUGAUUUGUAAGCUUGGAUUCAGCAACAUGUCAGUUUAAAGUUUAUUGCGCCAUACAAACAUAAUGCAGCAACCAGUUAUGGAACAAGCAAGAAACAUUGUAUUUUGUCUAAAUGCCAUCAAAAUCAUCAAGCAGAUGUACAUCUAAUGUGUUUAGUAUUGUUUCAGUUAUUAAUCAAAAGGAAACUCUAAACAGGUGGAGGUUUCAGCCUGGAUUUGACUCAGUGUUCCAGCAGUUUUGCAGUUUUCUGGAAGCGUGUUACAAAUUAGAGGAGCAUAAAAAUUUCAAUCUGUAUAUAAAGCUCUGGAAGAAAAGAAAAGAAAAGAAAAGAGAGACCACUGUAUUGAACCCCGAUGAAAACCUCCUGGUCAUUCCACCAAAUAGUGAUUUCUGAACUUUUCUUGAGUUAAAACAUUAUUAUUGUUGUUUCUAAACGAAGAUGAACUUGUUUUCUUUGCAUUACUUGAGGUCUGAGAGCACAGCAUCACUUUUAUUAUGCUGACCAUUUCUCAUUUUCUGAAAAUAAAUCCAAACUUUUUGCUUGGAAUAUCAGAAACGUGUUGUCAAAGAACAAUAUUCACUUCACCCAAACAUAUACAUAUGAAGAGUAAAAUCAGAGAAACUGAUCAUUUUAAGUGGUGUCUUAAUUUUUUCCAGAGCUGUAUGUUUGCUUGUUUUUUUUGUUUUUUUUUUUAAACUUACUUCCCAGCAUUUACAUAUGAGCAGAUGUCUUCAGCAGUUUUGCUUCAGUCAAACCUGCCUCUUUGUAUCAUUUGUUCUGUUAAAUACGUUUGCAUGUGAGUGUAUGUUCAGGAGGAAGCAUCAAACAUACAUUCUGUUACACCUCAGUGAAACUGAAUGGCAAUUAAAGAGUCUUCAUCUUCCCAA
This is a long non-coding RNA of Gambusia affinis (western mosquitofish), 2449 nucleotides long. RefSeq lists it as uncharacterized. The record is from RefSeq and is a predicted model, not a curated record. NCBI's taxonomy places the organism in Eukaryota, Metazoa, Chordata, Actinopteri, Cyprinodontiformes, Poeciliidae. The transcript is spliced from 4 exons.